UGUCAUGGCGACUGUGCGCGGGAUACCUUCGGGUAUGCCGAGAUAUGCCUCUGGGAUCGGUCCGCGAACCCGCGUACAGCUGCCACCCCA
Molecule: non-coding RNA, 90 nt
Filed under: Pseudomonas sp. Tn43
Lineage: Bacteria; Pseudomonadati; Pseudomonadota; Gammaproteobacteria; Pseudomonadales; Pseudomonadaceae
Source: RNAcentral